This 484-nucleotide ribosomal RNA is filed under the name uncultured bacterium. Its description in RNAcentral is "bacterial SSU rRNA". It matches the Rfam family "Bacterial small subunit ribosomal RNA", at positions 30 to 507 of the family's 1533-position model. The record is from RNAcentral.
AUUGAACGCUGGCGGCAUGCCUUACACAUGCAAGUCGAACGGCAGCACGGGAGCAAUCCUGGUGGCGAGUGGCGAACGGGUGAGUAAUAUAUCGGAACGUGCCCAGUCGUGGGGGAUAACGUAGCGAAAGCUACGCUAAUACCGCAUACGAUCUAUGGAUGAAAGCGGGGGAUCGCAAGACCUCGCGCGAUUGGAGCGGCCGAUAUCAGAUUAGGUAGUUGGUGAGGUAAAGGCCUACCAAGGCAUCGAUCAGUAGCUGGUCUGAGAGGACGACCAGCCACACUGGAACUGAGACACGGUCCAGACUCCUACGGGAGGCAGCAGUGGGGAAUUUUGGACAAUGGGGGCAACCCUGAUCCAGCAAUGCCGCGUGAGUGAAGAAGGCCUUCGGGUUGUAAAGCUCUUUUGUCAGGGAAGAAACGGUGAGGGCUAAUAUCCUUUGCUAAUGACGGUACCUGAAGAAUAAGCACCGGCUAACUACGUG